Molecule: long non-coding RNA, 593 nt
Organism: Aedes aegypti (yellow fever mosquito)
Lineage: Eukaryota; Metazoa; Arthropoda; Insecta; Diptera; Culicidae
Exons: 2
Source: RefSeq, a predicted model, not a curated record
GUGCUGUGCGGUUCCGGCAUUUAUUUUAUUCAUAAAUCCAUUAAGCUAAACUGCACUAUCACGGUGCUUCACAUUUACGAUUAGAUCUUGCUGCAAACUGGCAGAAUGGAGCUGCAACUUUUACUGCAUCUGAUUAUUUUCGUGUGCCUCUCCGGUCCUUCCGAGGAGUUUCAUCGAGUGGACACUACUUUUGAAGAGGUGUCGAAUCGAAUAGUUUCUGGUGAAAAUAGGACGUUUUGUGAUGAAGUUAAUUCGAAAAGUGUUUUUGGACAAGAAUCAUCCGGUUGUAUGAGCAAAAAUCAGGAUGGAGAAAAUAACCCAAAAAGCAUUCGGAACAAGGAAAGAGAAGGUUCUGACGAUCGUAGGUGUGGAUGUUCAGAUUCACCAUCAACGAUGAAAAGGAAAGUGCAAUGUUUUCUUUGUCGGGUGCAGCAGUCUGUGAGGUUCAAUUUGAGACUAAUGGAAUGAAAGAGUUCGGCUCAUAUCGCAGCGCAUUCUUAAGGAUUGAAGUAUAAUAAAAAUCAGUGCAAACAGAAAUACAUAAUUGUGAAUAAAAAUGAAGAAGACUUGCAUUUCUAAGUCACAAUCAAGAA